CAGACUCCUACGGGAGCAGCAGUGGGGAAUCUUGCGCAAGUGGUACGAAAGUCUGACGGCAGCAACGCCGCGUGAGGGACGAAGGCUUUCUGAGUUGUAAACCCUUUCGACAGGAACGAGUUGUGACGGUACCUGUAGAACGAAGCACCGGCCAACUACGUGCCAGCAGCCGCGGUAAUAC
Molecule: ribosomal RNA, 181 nt
Filed under: uncultured bacterium
Lineage: Bacteria
Description: partial 16S ribosomal RNA
Rfam family: Bacterial small subunit ribosomal RNA
Source: RNAcentral